UACGUAGGGGGCGAGCGUUGUCCGGAAUCAUUGGGCGUAAAGAGCGUGUAGGCGGCUUGGUAAGUCUGGUGUGAAAUCUUGGGGCUCAACCCCAAGCCUGCACUGGAUACUGCCUCGCUAGAGUCCGGGAGGGGAGAUCGGAAUUCCUAGUGUAGCGGUGAAAUGCGCAGAUAUUAGGAAGAACACCGGUGGCGAAGGCGGAUCUCUGGAACGGUACUGACGCUGAGACGCGAAAGCGUGGGGAGCAAACAGG
Molecule: ribosomal RNA, 253 nt
Filed under: uncultured bacterium
Lineage: Bacteria
Description: partial 16S ribosomal RNA
Rfam family: Bacterial small subunit ribosomal RNA
Source: RNAcentral